GACGAACGCUGGCGGCGUGCCUAAUACAUGCAAGUAGAACGCUGAAGAGAGGAGCUUGCUCUUCUUGGAUGAGUUGCGAACGGGUGAGUAACGCGUAGGUAACCUGCCUUGUAGCGGGGGAUAACUAUUGGAAACGAUAGCUAAUACCGCAUAACAAUGGAUGACACAUGUCAUUUAUUUGAAAGGGGCAAUUGCUCCACUACAAGAUGGACCUGCGUUGUAUUAGCUAGUAGGUGAGGUAACGGCUCACCUAGGCGACGAUACAUAGCCGACCUGAGAGGGUGAUCGGCCACACUGGGACUGAGACACGGCCCAGACUCCUACGGGAGGCAGCAGUAGGGAAUCUUCGGCAAUGGGGGCAACCCUGACCGAGCAACGCCGCGUGAGUGAAGAAGGUUUUCGGAUCGUAAAGCUCUGUUGUAAGUCAAGAACGAGUGUGAGAGUGGAAAGUUCACACUGUGACGGUCGCUUACCAGAAAGGGACGGCUAACUACGUGCCAGCAGCCGCGGUAAUACGUAGGUCCCGAGCGUUGUCCGGAUUUAUUGGGCGUAAAGCGAGCGCAGGCGGUUUGAUAAGUCUGAAGUUAAAGGCUGUGGCUCAACCAUAGUUCGCUUUGGAAACUGUCAAACUUGAGUGCAGAAGGGGAGAGUGGAAUUCCAUGUGUAGCGGUGAAAUGCGUAGAUAUAUGGAGGAACACCGGUGGCGAAAGCGGCUCUCUGGUCUGUAACUGACGCUGAGGCUCGAAAGCGUGGGGAGCGGACAGGAUUAGAUACCCUGGUAGUCCACGCCGUAAACGAUGAGUGCUAGGUGUUGGAUCCUUUCCGGGAUUCAGUGCCGCAGCUAACGCAUUAAGCACUCCGCCUGGGGAGUACGACCGCAAGGUUGAAACUCAAAGGAAUUGACGGGGGCCCGCACAAGCGGUGGAUUAUGUGGCUUAAUUCGAUGAUACGCGAGGAACCUUACCAAGACUUAAAUGGGAAUUGACAGCUAUAGAGAUAUGGUUUUCUUCGGACAAUUUUCAAGGUGCUGCAUGGUUGUCGUCAGCUCGUGCCGUGAGGUGUUAGGUUAAGUCCUGCAACGAGCGCAACCCUUGUCACUAGUUGCCAUCAUUAAGUUGGGGACUCUAGUGAGACUGCCUACGCAAGUAGAGAGGAAGGUGGGGAUGACGUCAAAUCAUCACGGCCCUUACGUCUUGGGCCACACACGUAAUACAAUGGGCGAUACAGAGGGCAGCUACACAGCGAUGUGAUGCGAAUCUCGAAAGUCGUUCUCAGUUCGGAUUGGAGUCUGCAACUCGACUCUAUGAAGCUGGAAUCGCUAGUAAUCGCGUAUCAGCCAUGGCGCGGUGAAUACGUUCCCAGGCCU
This 1366-nucleotide ribosomal RNA is filed under the name uncultured bacterium. RNAcentral describes it as "bacterial SSU rRNA". It matches the Rfam family "Bacterial small subunit ribosomal RNA", at positions 28 to 1381 of the family's 1533-position model. The record is from RNAcentral.